Molecule: ribosomal RNA, 435 nt
Filed under: uncultured bacterium
Lineage: Bacteria
Description: bacterial SSU rRNA
Rfam family: Bacterial small subunit ribosomal RNA
Source: RNAcentral
GCUAAACGCGAAGAACCUUACCUGGGCUUGACAUAUAGGGAAAUCUCAUAGAGAUAUGAGGUCCGCAAGGGUCCUAUACAGGUGGUGCAUGGCUGUCGUCAGCUCGUGUCGUGAGAUGUUGGGUUAAGUCCCGCAACGAGCGCAACCCUCGUUCUAUGUUGCCAGCACGUAAUGGUGGGGACUCAUAGGAGACUGCCGGGGUCAACUCGGAGGAAGGUGGGGAUGACGUCAAAUCAUCAUGCCCCUUAUGUCUUGGGCUUCACGCAUGCUACAAUGGCCGGUACAAAGGGCUGCAAUACCGUAAGGUGGAGCGAAUCCCAAAAAGCCGGUCUCAGUUCGGAUUGAGGUCUGCAACUCGACCUCAUGAAGUCGGAGUCGCUAGUAAUCGCAGAUCAGCAACGCUGCGGUGAAUACGUUCCCGGGUCUUGUACACAC